UCCCUGGCAGUCUAAUGGUUAGGACUUGGCACUGUCAAUGCCAGGGCCAAGGUUCAGUUCCUGGUCGGGGAA
Molecule: transfer RNA, 72 nt
Filed under: Bos taurus (domestic cattle)
Lineage: Eukaryota; Metazoa; Chordata; Mammalia; Artiodactyla; Bovidae
Also listed under: 4 other names
Rfam family: tRNA
About the family: Transfer RNA (tRNA) molecules are approximately 80 nucleotides in length. Their secondary structure includes four short double-helical elements and three loops (D, anti-codon, and T loops).
Source: Rfam by way of RNAcentral